This is a long non-coding RNA of Dreissena polymorpha, 928 nucleotides long. RefSeq lists it as uncharacterized. The record is from RefSeq and is a predicted model, not a curated record. Lineage: Eukaryota; Metazoa; Mollusca; Bivalvia; Myida; Dreissenidae. The transcript is spliced from 4 exons.
UGUCAUACCCGGGCGGGCAAUGCUUUGGAUUUGGUCUCAAAUGAGCGUUGUAACGGGCCAAUAGAAGAAAGUCACAUUCAAUUAGUUAACACGCAGAGGACAGAAACCGUGACAGUUAACAUCUCUCCGGAAAAAAAAAUUUCUGCUGAGGAAGAGUUUUGUAGAAAACUGCUGCAGCUUGCACAGCACACAACACUUAACGGCAGCAAUACGUUUGAAGUAGAGAUUGAAUAAAGAUGAUGCGAAUGGAGUAUCAAUGCGAAGAACAAUAAACGAAUGUUAACAGAUGGAUAUAAACUGGAUAUAAACAUUAUACAUAGACUAUGUUUCAAAUAUAUCGUAUUCAUAUCGAACGAAAAAACCGGAAGUGUAAAUUAUGCACAAUGAACGCAAUAGAAAAUGAAUAGCAUUUCCUACUAGUAUGUCCAAUAUAUGCACACCUACGAUUUUUUUUAAACCGCACUAUUGCAGAUGGCCAACAAUAAAUAAAUUUGCAAGAUUAAUGUCCAGCAAAAGUAAAACUGAAAUAAUAAGUACUGCGAAAUUUAUUUACAAAACAAAUAACAGCAAAUGACAGCAUCUCGAUUCGUAAUUCUAUAUUUAAUCAGUAAUCAAUAAGUUAUUUUGAUGUUAAUGGUACAAUUGAUACAUACGCAGGCUAAGAAUGUGUACCUUGUGUGCUUUUGCAAUCACUUGAAUGUAUAAAAUUAAUGCUCAUUUUCAAAUGUGAGGGCUAUGAACUUGUAACGGCUUUAUUGAUAAAUAAGUGUUAUUGUUGUUGUAUUCUUGCAUAUAUGAAAUUAAUGCUCAUUUUCAUAUGUGAGGGCUAUGAACUCGUAUUAGCUUUAUUGAUGAAUUAAUGUUGUUGUUGUUGUUGUUGUUGUAUAUAUCUCAUAACAUACACAAACAGAAUUGUAUUAUAAUAAGA